CCUACGGGUGGCAGCAGUGGGGAAUAUUGGACAAUGGGGGCAACCCUGAUCCAGCCAUGCCGCGUGUGUGAAGAAGGCCCUCGGGUUGUAAAGCACUUUCAGUGAGGAAGAACGCCUGGUGGUUAAUACCCAUCAGGAAAGACAUCACUCACAGAAGAAGCACCGGCUAACUCCGUGCCAGCAGCCGCGGUAAUACGGAGGGUGCGAGCGUUAAUCGGAAUUACUGGGCGUAAAGCGCGCGUAGGAGGCUUGAUAAGCCGGUUGUGAAAGCCCCGGGCUCAACCUGGGAACGGCAUCCGGAACUGUCAAGCUAGAGUGCAGGAGAGGAAGGUAGAAUUCCCGGUGUAGCGGUGAAAUGCGUAGAGAUCGGGAGGAAUACCAGUGGCGAAGGCGGCCUUCUGGACUGACACUGACACUGAGGUGCGAAAGCGUGGGUAGCAAACAGGAUUAGAUACCCGUGUAGUC
RNAcentral lists this ribosomal RNA (465 nucleotides) under Vreelandella stevensii. RNAcentral's name for it is "partial 16S ribosomal RNA". It matches the Rfam family "Bacterial small subunit ribosomal RNA", at positions 338 to 795 of the family's 1533-position model. Lineage: Bacteria; Pseudomonadati; Pseudomonadota; Gammaproteobacteria; Oceanospirillales; Halomonadaceae. The record is from RNAcentral.